CGAAACGGGUGAGUAACACGUGGGAAUCUGCCCAAAAGUGGGGAACAACUCCUCGAAAGAGGAGCUAAUACCGCAUACGGUCUGUAAAGACUAAAGCUUCGCAAGAGGCGCUUUUGGAGGAGCCUGCGGCUGAUUAGCUAGUUGGUGGGGUAAAGGCCUACCAAGGCGAUGAUCAGUAGCUGGUCUGAGAGGAUGGACAGCCACACUGGGACUGAGAUACGGCCCAG
RNAcentral lists this ribosomal RNA (227 nucleotides) under uncultured bacterium. RNAcentral's name for it is "partial 16S ribosomal RNA". It matches the Rfam family "Bacterial small subunit ribosomal RNA", at positions 101 to 334 of the family's 1533-position model. The record is from RNAcentral.